AGCGAACGCUGGCGGCAGGCCUAACACAUGCAAGUCGAACGGACCCUUCGGGGUUAGUGGCGGACGGGUGAGUAACACGUGGGAACGUGCCUUUAGGUUCGGAGUAGCUCCUGGAAACGGGUGGUAAUGCCGAAUGUGCCCUUCGGGGGAAAGAUUUAUCGCCUUUAGAGCGGCCCGCGUCUGAUUAGCUAGUUGGUGAGGUAAUGGCUCACCAAGGCGACGAUCAGUAGCUGGUCGGAGAGGAUGACCAGCCACACUGGGACUGGGACACGGCCCAGACUCCGACGGGAGGCAGCAGUGGGGAAUCUUGCGCAAUGGGCGAAAGCCUGACGCAGCCAUGCCGCGUGAAUGAUGAAGGUCUUAGGAUUGUAAAAUUCUUUCACCGGGGACGAUAAUGACGGUACCCGGAGAAGAAGCCCCGGCUGACUUCGUGCCAGCCGCCGCCGUAA
RNAcentral lists this ribosomal RNA (449 nucleotides) under uncultured bacterium. RNAcentral's name for it is "partial 16S ribosomal RNA". It matches the Rfam family "Bacterial small subunit ribosomal RNA", at positions 29 to 523 of the family's 1533-position model. The record is from RNAcentral.